Molecule: small RNA, 70 nt
Filed under: Paramormyrops kingsleyae
Lineage: Eukaryota; Metazoa; Chordata; Actinopteri; Osteoglossiformes; Mormyridae
Description: HOXA transcript at the distal tip, conserved region 2 (ENSPKIG00000000179.1)
Source: RNAcentral
CUGUUUUACAUACGGGUUAGACGAGGCUCGAGGCCAAGGUCAAGUUGAAAGUUGCAGUCUAGCCACUGAG